UACGUAGGUGGCAAGCGUUGUCCGGAAUUAUUGGGCGUAAAGCGCGCGCAGGCGGUUCUUUAAGUCUGAUGUGAAAGCCCACGGCUCAACCGUGGAGGGUCAUUGGAAACUGGGGAACUUGAGUACAGAAGAGGAAAGCGGAAUUCCACGUGUAGCGGUGAAAUGCGUAGAGAUGUGGAGGAACACCAGUGGCGAAGGCGGCUUUCUGGCCUGUAACUGACGCUGAGGCGCGAAAGCGUGGGGAGCAAACAGG
This 253-nucleotide ribosomal RNA is filed under the name uncultured bacterium. RNAcentral describes it as "partial 16S ribosomal RNA". It matches the Rfam family "Bacterial small subunit ribosomal RNA", at positions 524 to 776 of the family's 1533-position model. The record is from RNAcentral.